This 460-nucleotide ribosomal RNA is filed under the name uncultured bacterium. RNAcentral describes it as "partial 16S ribosomal RNA". It matches the Rfam family "Bacterial small subunit ribosomal RNA", at positions 338 to 795 of the family's 1533-position model. The record is from RNAcentral.
CCUACGGGUGGCAGCAGUGAGGAAUAUUGGUCAAUGGACGAGAGUCUGAACCAGCCAAGUAGCGUGAAGGAUGACUGCCCUAUGGGUUGUAAACUUCUUUUAUAUGGGAAUAAAACGUUCCACGUGUGGGAUUUUGUAUGUACUAUAUGAAUAAGGAUCGGCUAACUCUGUGCCAGCAGCCGCGGUAAUACGGAGGAUCCGAGCGUUAUCCGGAUUUAUUGGGUUUAAAGGGAGCGUAGGUGGAUUGUUAAGUCAGUUGUGAAAGUUUGCGGCUCAACCGUAAAAUUGCAGUUGAAACUGGCAGUCUUGAGUACAGUAGAGGUGGGCGGAAUUCGUGGUGUAGCGGUGAAAUGCUUAGAUAUCACGAAGAACUCCGAUUGCGAAGGCAGUUCACUGGACUGCAACUGACACUGAGGCUCGAAAGUGUGGGUAUCAAACAGGAUUAGAUACCCCUGUAGUC